RNAcentral lists this ribosomal RNA (253 nucleotides) under uncultured bacterium. RNAcentral's name for it is "partial 16S ribosomal RNA". It matches the Rfam family "Bacterial small subunit ribosomal RNA", at positions 524 to 776 of the family's 1533-position model. The record is from RNAcentral.
UACAGAGGUCUCAAGCGUUGUUCGGAUUCAUUGGGCGUAAAGGGUGCGUAGGCGGUUUGGCAAGUCUUGUGUGAAAUCUUUGGGCUCAACCCAAAGUCUGCAUAAGAAACUGCCGGGCUUGAGUAUGGGAGAGGUGAGUGGAAUUUCCGGUGUAGCGGUGAAAUGCGUAGAUAUCGGAAGGAACACCCGUGGCGAAGGCGGCUCUCUGGGACGGUACUGACGCUGAGACGCGAAAGCGUGGGGAGCGAACAGG